Molecule: non-coding RNA, 733 nt
Filed under: Drosophila virilis
Lineage: Eukaryota; Metazoa; Arthropoda; Insecta; Diptera; Drosophilidae
Description: Eukaryotic large subunit ribosomal RNA
Rfam family: Eukaryotic large subunit ribosomal RNA
Source: Rfam by way of RNAcentral
AAUUAGGGGAGGAAAAGAAACUAACAAGGAUUUUCUUAGUAGCGGCGAGCGAAAAGAAAUCAGUUCAGCACUAAGUCACUUUGUCUAUAUGGCAAAUGUGAGAUGCAGUGUACGGAACAUCAACAUUCUAGUAUGAGAAGUUAACGAUUUAAGUCCUUCUUAAAUGAGGCCAUUUACCCAUAGAGGGUGCCAGGCCCGUAUAACGUUAAUGAUUACUAGAUGGUGUUUCCAAAGAGUCGUGUUGCUUGAUAGUGCAGCACUAAGUGGGUGGUAAACUCCAUCUAAAACUAAAUAUAACCAUGAGACCGAUAGUAAACAAGUACCGUGAGGGAAAGUUGAAAAGAACUCUGAAUAGAGAGUUAAAUAGUACGUGAAACUGCUUAGAGGUUAAGCCCGAUGAACCUGAAUAUCCGUUAUGGAAAAUUCAUCAUUAGAAUUGUAAUAUUUUAAACAAUAUUAUAAUAAUAGUGUGCAUUUUUUCCAUAUAAGGACAUUGUAAUCUAUUAGCAUAAAUAUUUAUCAUAAAAUUAUGUCUGAUUGCUUAUUUGAAUUAUAUGCUUGGCAUUUUAACAUAAAAUAAAAGAUAUAAAUUUGAUAAAGUGCUGAUAGAUUUAUAUGAUUACAGUGCGUUAAUUUUUCGGAAUUAUAUAAUGGCAUAAUUAUCAUUGAUAUUUGUGUUUAUUAUAUGCAUUUGUAUGAUUAACAAUGCGAAAGAUUCAGGAUACCUUCGGGA